AUUCCAGCUCCAAUAGCGUAUAUUUAAGUUGUCGCAGUUAAAAAGCUCGUAGUUGGACCUUGGGACGUCACGGUCGGUCCGCCUUCUUGGUGUGCACUGGCCCUCACGUCCCUUCUGCCGGCGGCGUGUUCCUGGCCUUAAUUGGCUGGGUCGCGGUUCCGGCGCCGUUACUUUGAAAAAAUUAGAGUGCUCAAAGCAAGCCUACGCUCUGAAUACAUUAGCAUGGAAUAACGCGAUAGGAGUCUGGUCCUGUUCCGUUGGCCUUCGGGACCGGAGUAAUGAUUAAUAGGGACUGUCGGGGGCAUUCGUAUUUCAUUGUCAGAGGUGAAAUUCUUGGAUUUAUGGAAGACGAACCACUGCGAAAGCAUUUGCCAAGGAUGUUUUCAUUG
RNAcentral lists this ribosomal RNA (389 nucleotides) under Embryophyta sp. RNAcentral's name for it is "partial small subunit ribosomal RNA". It matches the Rfam family "Eukaryotic small subunit ribosomal RNA", at positions 582 to 975 of the family's 1831-position model. Lineage: Eukaryota; Viridiplantae; Streptophyta. The record is from RNAcentral.